Molecule: long non-coding RNA, 841 nt
Organism: Gymnogyps californianus (California condor)
Lineage: Eukaryota; Metazoa; Chordata; Aves; Accipitriformes; Cathartidae
Exons: 2
Source: RefSeq, a predicted model, not a curated record
AGAGGGAGCUGUUCUGACGCUCAUUCCUCCCGGUGUUUAUGGCCGGACCCCAAGGUCGUUUUGCUCUUCCUCCUGCGCCGAGGAAGACUCAGCCCUGGCCAUCCUUGAGAGAUGCUUGUCGAAGGCUCCCAGGAAAGGGCUUCAGCAGCUUUUCCCAGGAGGAUUUUCCGAAAGCGCGAACGGGAUCUUUUUGAAUCGUCGCUCUGCCCUCCAAAGGGCUCUAUGCUUCCCCUUCUCCCAGCAGCGACAUCUGCCACGGGACGGGCUCUCCAGUCCCCUUGCUUAGGAGACAGAAACACAAAUCGAUCUCGUCGCUCGGGGCACUAAUCUGCUCCCAGCCUCUCCUGGGGACCCUGGCCCUUUUUUCCACGUCGCCUGGGACACAACGCGUGUCACCCGGUGGGAGAGGAGCUGCUGUGUGAUGGGAGAUGAGCUGCCCCGGGUCGGGCGAGAAGGGACAGGACCGCGGGAGGGAUGUACCUGUUCCCCGCCAACACCCGCCGCCGAAAACUCCUCUUAAACACAAUUUGCUUAAGUCAUUUCUCCCCCCGACCUGCGAGCCAUGUAUUUAUGUACUGUGGUAAAUGUUAUGCCUUGAAAAGACCCGCACAUGAAUAAAAAAUCAGGCUGUCACUCCGCCGUGCUCCUUUUAAAGAGAAAUUGCUUAAAGCAGCAAGAAAGACGUCUAAUCUUGGGGCUCUGGGAGCCGGUGUUUGCGAACGUGUGGGGGAGGCGGGGGUCACUGCAGUUUAUGCUCAUGAAUAAUGAAUCUGACAUUGUAGCUAUGCAAAUGUAACCUAACAAGCUCCAAACUAAAUAAAAAUCUUGUUUGUUAUGUCAA